This 253-nucleotide ribosomal RNA is filed under the name uncultured bacterium. RNAcentral's name for it is "partial 16S ribosomal RNA". It matches the Rfam family "Bacterial small subunit ribosomal RNA", at positions 524 to 776 of the family's 1533-position model. The record is from RNAcentral.
UACGUAGGGUGCGAGCGUUAAUCGGAAUUACUGGGCGUAAAGCGUGCGCAGGCGGUUUUGUAAGCCAGAUGUGAAAUCCCCGGGCUUAACCUGGGAAUGGCAUUUGGGACUGCAAGGCUGGAGUGUGGCAGAGGAGACUGGAAUUCCUGGUGUAGCGGUGAAAUGCAUAGAUAUCUUCAAGAACACCGAUUGCGAAGGCAGCUUACUAAGCUUUAACUGACACUGAGGCACGAAAGCGUGGGGAUCAAACAGG